UAAGCUCAUUGCGAAGUACUCAACUUGACCUGACGUUAAAUGGGACUUCUUCCAUAGAAAAAUGUUAUGUAAGUCAAUUGAACAUCUACUUGAUUCAUCAAAUGUGAUAAAUAUAAGUUUGUUUCUUUAUGUGUUAAAGUGAUAAAAAAAGGAAGAGGGCUGUUUUGUUGUUAUAUUGUAUUCACAUAUUUAUAAACCUGCUAUUGUUCAUGAAUACAGUUGCCUGUAGAUCAAUGUGUUUUCUCUGGUGCCCCAGUGUAUUCAAUGAUAAGGGAUGUCAUUCUGAUGGUCUCUCCUUGUUAUAAUUCUGCGAAUUUGUUCUCUUUGUUUAUCUUGAAGUCAAGUAGCACGUAUUGAGUAUUUGCACUAUAACCAAGUGCAAAUUGUGCCAAACGAAAACAUUAUAACUAAAAGAGUAUAUUUCACAAGACCAUAAAUAUUAUGGUAAAAGUUGUAUAGAACCAUAGAGGUUUUGACAAAUGACACUUAACCCUGAAUAUUGUGGUUCAAAGUUGUACAAAAUCACACUAUUAACUAAUUUAACUUGCUACUAUAGUGAAGCACAAUUGACAAACUAAAGAAUGCUGAACUCAAGGGCAUGCCAUCUCCUUUGUGUUAAGUUCUAUGGUUCAUCUAGGGUUUUAGCUCUAGUUCGGUGCCUAUUUGUAUGAAUCAAUGGGAUUGCAGUUAGGGAAAGAGGGGAUUAGAGGUAGGGUUACCGACCAGUCGAUCCAGAUGCAGAGGAGGAAGAGUCGGCCAUCGUCUUCGCUUCGGCUUGGGGCUGAUGACGGGGACAAUGGUCGUGGACGUACUCCGGCGAGGUCGCGGCGCAACUGGUGGCGAUUCCCGUCACUAGUUGUCGACGAGGCGGCGGGACAGGUGGCGACGUCCAACGGCGAUGACCGGGCGAUGGGGUCGGGGG
RNAcentral lists this long non-coding RNA (922 nucleotides) under Oryza brachyantha (malo sina). RNAcentral describes it as "long non-coding RNA (OBRA_LNC002396)". Lineage: Eukaryota; Viridiplantae; Streptophyta; Magnoliopsida; Poales; Poaceae. The record is from RNAcentral.